ACCUGGCUGGCUCAGUAGGGGGAACAUGAAAUUCUUGAUCUCAGGGUUGUGAGUUCAAGCCCCACGUUAGGUG
This 73-nucleotide transfer RNA is filed under the name Canis lupus familiaris (dog). It matches the Rfam family "tRNA". From Rfam's summary of the family: Transfer RNA (tRNA) molecules are approximately 80 nucleotides in length. Their secondary structure includes four short double-helical elements and three loops (D, anti-codon, and T loops). Further hydrogen bonds mediate the characteristic L-shaped molecular structure. tRNAs have two regions of fundamental functional importance: the anti-codon, which is responsible for specific mRNA codon recognition, and the 3' end, to which the tRNAs corresponding amino acid is attached (by aminoacyl-tRNA synthetases). tRNAs cope with the degeneracy of the genetic code in two manners: having more than one tRNA (with a specific anti-codon) for a particular amino acid; and 'wobble' base-pairing, i.e. permitting non-standard base-pairing at the 3rd anti-codon position. The record is from Rfam by way of RNAcentral. RNAcentral also lists the same sequence under 1 other name. Lineage: Eukaryota; Metazoa; Chordata; Mammalia; Carnivora; Canidae.